This 326-nucleotide RNase P RNA is filed under the name chicken gut metagenome. RNAcentral describes it as "Bacterial RNase P class A". It matches the Rfam family "Bacterial RNase P class A". From Rfam's summary of the family: Ribonuclease P (RNase P) is a ubiquitous endoribonuclease, found in archaea, bacteria and eukarya as well as chloroplasts and mitochondria. Its best characterised activity is the generation of mature 5'-ends of tRNAs by cleaving the 5'-leader elements of precursor-tRNAs. Cellular RNase Ps are ribonucleoproteins. The record is from RNAcentral.
AGUUGAUUAUACGGUCGCGUGGCCAAGAGCCAUGAGGAAAGUCCGAGCAUCACAGAGCAGGGCGCCGGAUAACGUCCGGUGGAGGCGACUCCAAGGAAAGUGCAACAGAAACAGACCGCAAGCAAUUGCAAGGAUGGAAAGGGGAGGUAAGAGCUCACCGGCGCUUUGGUAACAGAGCGCGCCGUGUAAACCCCGCCCGAUGCAAGAUUGGGCAGAUGCCGCAAGGGUUGCUCGCCCGGCGUUUGCCGUUAAUAUCGCUAGAACGCACCGGUAACGGUGCGGCCAGAUAGAUGACCGUACACGACAGAACUCGGCUUACAGAUCAA